This 308-nucleotide ribosomal RNA is filed under the name uncultured Paludibacter sp. RNAcentral describes it as "bacterial SSU rRNA". It matches the Rfam family "Bacterial small subunit ribosomal RNA", at positions 75 to 384 of the family's 1533-position model. The record is from RNAcentral. Lineage: Bacteria; Pseudomonadati; Bacteroidota; Bacteroidia; Bacteroidales; Paludibacteraceae.
AGCAAUAUUCUGGUGGCGACCGGCGCACGGGUGAGUAACACGUAUGCAACCUACCUGUAAGAGGGGAAUAACCCGGAGAAAUUCGGACUAAUACCGCAUAAUACCUUUAAGCUGCAUGGCUUAAAGGUUAAACAUUUAUGGCUUACAGAUGGGCAUGCGUAACAUUAGAUAGUUGGUGAGGUAACGGCUCACCAAGUCAACGAUGUUUAGGGGUUCUGAGAGGAAGGUCCCCCACACUGGUACUGAGACACGGACCAGACUCCUACGGGAGGCAGCAGUGAGGAAUAUUGGUCAAUGGGCGAGAGCCU